This is a long non-coding RNA of Polyodon spathula (Mississippi paddlefish), 311 nucleotides long. RefSeq lists it as uncharacterized. The record is from RefSeq and is a predicted model, not a curated record. The transcript is spliced from 4 exons. NCBI's taxonomy places the organism in Eukaryota, Metazoa, Chordata, Actinopteri, Acipenseriformes, Polyodontidae.
UGAAGGGGCAUUGUGCUGCUCCACGGGUUCCCCAUCAUGUCGAAGCUGCGCUCUGUGUUGUUGCUGAUGGUCGUUCUCGCAGCGGUUUGCUCUGAUCAUACAGUUGAGUGCGCGAAGCGAACACAACCCCUGCAGUGGCUUGAUCGCAAAAACGAGUGCAGCUGUAAGGUGUUGUCCAAUAAGCAGCUUUCAUGUCGAAAGACACUCCUGCCGCGGUCCAGUCAAGAGAAGAUCAAAAUGAUGGAAUGUCUUUGCAAGAAGCACAGGCAUGAGCUGCAUAGCAUACUCCGACAGGACCUGCAAAAGAUGUG